UGGAAUUUGAGCCCAGAUCUGCCUGACACCCAAGCCUGUGUCUCCUGCCCCACGAGACGGACAGGUUCACGGCUGAAGGCGAGAGGGCCGUUCUGCAUCCCUCUUCCUCCUGGGAGGAGCACAUCCCACUGCUUUGGACUGAGAUUUCCCCUGAACCCUGCCGCCUCCCCAGAGAAGAGCCUUGCUCUGCUGGCACCCCCUCCUGUUGCUGGGUCUCUGCUGCCCACUGAGCUGCUGUCCCCCUCUGUGACCUCGGAGCACGGCACACAGCCCUGUAGCUGAGGAAGCAGAGGGCUGGGAAGGGGAAGUCACACGGCUAGCAAGGGGCACAGCUGAGGCUGGGACUCCAGGGCCUCCAGGGCCACCUCCUUCCUCCUACACCACUGUGGCGCGAGGUCUCCUGCUUGCUUCCUCUGGUGACACACACAGGAGGCAGGGGCCCAUACUGCAGGGGGCUGCUAUACGGCUGUGUGCAAAUAUUUUGUAGGCAUGUGUCCAAGAGUAAGUGCUCGCUUGGGUCACAGGAGAGAUGAAUAGCUAACUUUCAAAGGAAACACCAAAAUUUUUUCCAAAGUGACUAUGGCCCUUUACAUCCCCAUGGCCGGGUCAGAGCACCCCAGUUGCCACGUCCUUGCCACCAAUCGGAAUGGUCAGUCUUUGAAAGUUAGCCAUCUCAGUGGAUGAGGGGAUGUCUCAGGGAGCAUUUUUGCAUGUAUUUAUCGGCACUUGUGUGUCUCCUUUUGUGAAAUGUAUGUUCAAAUCUCUUGCCUUUAAAAUUCUUGUUGGUUUUCUUAAUACUGAAUUUUAAAAGCUCUUUUUAUAUUCUAGACACAAGUCCUCUGUGUAGUAUAUGCCUUGCAAAUAUUUCCUCUUCAUACGUGCCUGGACUUUCCAUUUUCUAAUGGUACUAUUUGCAGAAUGAAACUUUUUAAUUUAAAUUUUUUGUGUUUGGUAUCAUGGAUUGAACCCAGGGACACUCUGCCACUGAGCUACAUCCCCAGCCCUUCUUAUUUUUUAUUUUGAGACAUGGUCUUUCUAGGUUGCUGAGGUUGACCUCAAACUUGUGAUCCUCCUGCUUCAGCCGCUGAGUCUCUGGGAUAACAGGGGUGUGCCACGACACACCUGGCCAAAAUUUGUCAAUUCUGAUGAUGUCCAAUUGAUCUUUUUAAAGAAAAGGUUGUAUGAUUUUGUGUUCUAUCCUAGAGUCCUGUUUUCACCCCAAGGUAGCAAACAACUGUAUUUUCUUUUAGGGGCUUUAUGCUUUUAGGUUUAUGGUCCUAUGAAACAUUUUAAGGUAAUUACUGUGUUUGAUAUAAGGGUUGACACUUAAUUUUUUAUAUAGGUAUCUAGGUGGCAGAGCAUCCAAAAGCCGUCCUUUCAACAAAAUUUCUACCCAUUACACUUUUGUCAAUAAUUAGCCAUACGUAAGGGUCUGCUUCUGGGCUCUAGUCCUCCAAAUUAUACAUAUGCAUAUUUCAUUUUUUAUUUUAGACCAAUAUCAAACUGUCCUUAUUAGUGUAAUUUUUAUAAAAUGACUUAAAAUCACAUAGGGUCAAUUCUCCAACUUUGUUUUUUUUUAAUUGCUUUUUAAAAAAUUGCUUUGAAUAUUCCAAGUCAUUUAUUUCUAUUUCCAGAUGACUUUUAGAAUUAUAUUGUCAGUUGCUAUCAAAAUUCAUGUUGGGAUUUUAUUGCGAUUGUGUUGAAUCGGUUUGAGGUCAUUGUAAUCCAACAUGCCAUACUCUCAAAUCCAUGAACAUGGUAUAUCUGUGUUUACCUAUGACUUUUUUAUUUUCUUACUUUACAGUAUAGAUGUCUUGAACAAAUUUUGUUAGAUUUGUUCCAAAC
RNAcentral lists this long non-coding RNA (1845 nucleotides) under Marmota monax (woodchuck). The record is from RNAcentral. Lineage: Eukaryota; Metazoa; Chordata; Mammalia; Rodentia; Sciuridae.